GAUGAAGAACGUAGCGAAAUGCGAUAAGUAAUGUGAAUUGCAGAAUUCAGUGAAUCAUCGAAUCUUUGAACGCACAUUGCGCCCGCCAGUAUUCUGGCGGGCAUGCCUGUUCGAGCGUCAUUUCAACCCUCAGGCCCCCAGUGCCUGGUGUUGGGGAUCGGCCCAGCCUUCCUGUAAGGCCGCCGGCCCCGAAAUCUAGUGGCGGUCUCGCUGUAGUCCUCCUCUGCGUAGUAGCACAACCUCGCAGUUGGAACGCGGCGGUGGCCAUGCCGUUAAACACCCCACUUCUGAAAGUUGACCUCGGAUCAGGCAGGAAUACCCGCUGAACUUAAGCAUAUCAAUAAGCGGAGGA
Molecule: unclassified non-coding RNA, 352 nt
Filed under: soil metagenome
Description: partial contains 5.8S ribosomal RNA, internal transcribed spacer 2, and large subunit ribosomal RNA
Rfam family: 5.8S ribosomal RNA (bases 1-120)
Source: RNAcentral